CUACUGGUUUUGUGGAUUGAACAUUGAAGCUUUUGUGGAUUGAACUCAUUGAGGAAUGAAGGUUGCAGACUGGAAAUGAGGAAAUCAGGAUGGAAGUACUUCUGGUCUUCUGGACUCCAUUAUUAGAGUAGCUAAGCUACAAUCUAACGCUUAUUGCUUUCCAAGGUGUUAGAGACUUAGA
Molecule: long non-coding RNA, 181 nt
Organism: Rosa chinensis
Lineage: Eukaryota; Viridiplantae; Streptophyta; Magnoliopsida; Rosales; Rosaceae
Exons: 3
Source: RefSeq, a predicted model, not a curated record